This 22-nucleotide unclassified non-coding RNA is filed under the name Chlamydomonas reinhardtii. RNAcentral's name for it is "small RNA Cre_3811". The record is from RNAcentral. Lineage: Eukaryota; Viridiplantae; Chlorophyta; Chlorophyceae; Chlamydomonadales; Chlamydomonadaceae.
UUCGAAAAGUUGCACAGCGCCC